AGGCGACGAUGCGUAGGGGUUCUGAGAGGAAGGUCCCCCACACUGGAACUGAGACACGGUCCAGACUCCUACGGGAGGCAGCAGUGAGGAAUAUUGGUCAAUGGGCGCAAGCCUGAACCAGCCAAGUCGCGUGAGGGAAGACGGCCCUACGGGUUGUAAACCUCUUUUGCCGGGGAGCAAGCCUGAGCACGUGUGCCCAGGCGGAGAGUACCCGGAGAAAAAGCAUCGGCUAACUCCGUGCCAGCAGCCGCGGUAAUACGGAGGAUGCGAGCGUUAUCCGGAUUUAUUGGGUUUAAAGGGUGCGCAGGCGGGCUGUUAAGCCGGCGGUAAAAAUUCAGGGCUCAACCCUGUCGAGCCGUCGGAACUGGCAGUCUUGAGUGGGCGAGAAGUAUGCGGAAUGCGUGGUGUAGCGGUGAAAUGCAUAGAUAUCACGCAGAACGCCGAUUGCGAAGGCAGCAUACCGGCGCCCAACUGACGCUGAGGCACGAAAGCGUGGGGAUCGAACAGGAUUAGAUACCCUGGUAGUCCACGCAGUAAACGAUGAGCGCUAACUGUCCGGAGCGAGCGAGCUCUGGGU
RNAcentral lists this ribosomal RNA (577 nucleotides) under uncultured bacterium. RNAcentral's name for it is "bacterial SSU rRNA". It matches the Rfam family "Bacterial small subunit ribosomal RNA", at positions 271 to 844 of the family's 1533-position model. The record is from RNAcentral.